RNAcentral lists this ribosomal RNA (111 nucleotides) under Sticta sublimbata. Its description in RNAcentral is "5.8S ribosomal RNA". It matches the Rfam family "5.8S ribosomal RNA", at positions 1 to 100 of the family's 154-position model. Rfam says of the family: 5.8S ribosomal RNA (5.8S rRNA) is a component of the large subunit of the eukaryotic ribosome. It is transcribed by RNA polymerase I as part of the 45S precursor that also contains 18S and 28S rRNA. The record is from RNAcentral. Lineage: Eukaryota; Fungi; Ascomycota; Lecanoromycetes; Peltigerales; Lobariaceae.
AUCGGAAUAAAAACUUUCAACAACGGAUCUCUUGGUUCUGGCAUCGAUGAAGAACGCAGCGAAAUGCGAUAAGUAAUGUGAAUUGCAGAAUUCAGUGAAUCAUCGAAUCUU